RNAcentral lists this ribosomal RNA (497 nucleotides) under uncultured bacterium. RNAcentral's name for it is "partial 16S ribosomal RNA". It matches the Rfam family "Bacterial small subunit ribosomal RNA", at positions 28 to 507 of the family's 1533-position model. The record is from RNAcentral.
GAUGAACGCUGGCGGCGUGCCUAAUACAUGCAAGUCGAGCGAACGGACGAGAAGCUUGCUUCUCUGAUGUUAGCGGCGGACGGGUGAGUAACACGUGGAUAACCUACCUAUAAGACUGGGAUAACUUCGGGAAACCGGAGCUAAUACCGGAUAAUAUUUUGAACCGCAUGGUUCAAAAGUGAAAGACGGUUUUGCUGUCACUUAUAGAUGGAUCCGCGCUGCAUUAGCUAGUUGGUAAGGUAACGGCUUACCAAGGCAACGAUGCAUAGCCGACCUGAGAGGGUGAUCGGCCAAACUGGAACUGAGACACGGUCCAGACUCCUAAGGGAGGCAGCAGUAGGGAAUCUUCCGCCAUGGGCGGAAGCCUGGCGGAGCAACGCCGCGUGAGUGAUGAAGGUCUUCGGAUCGUAAAACUCUGUUAUUUGGGAAGAAAAUAUGUGUAAGUAACUGUGCACAUCUUGACGGUACCUAAUCAGAAAGCCACGGCUAAAUACGUG